GCUUGGGUAGCUCAGUAGGUAGAGCGGCGGUCUGAAAAUCCGCAGAUGGUGGUUCGAAUCCACCCUCGAGCA
Molecule: transfer RNA, 72 nt
Filed under: Virus Rctr197k
Lineage: Duplodnaviria; Heunggongvirae; Uroviricota; Caudoviricetes
Description: tRNA-Phe
Rfam family: tRNA
About the family: Transfer RNA (tRNA) molecules are approximately 80 nucleotides in length.
Source: RNAcentral